UACGAAGGGGGCUAGCGUUGCUCGGAUUGACUGGGCGUAAAGGGCGCGUAGGCGGUUUGCCCAGUCAGACGUGAAAUUCCUGGGCUCAACCUGGGGGCUGCGUUUGAUACGUGCAGGCUUGAGUUCGGAAGAGGGUCGUGGAAUUCCCAGUGUAGAGGUGAAAUUCGUAGAUAUUGGGAAGAACACCGGUGGCGAAGGCGGCGACCUGGUCCGAUACUGACGCUGAGGCGCGAAAGCGUGGGGAGCAAACAGG
RNAcentral lists this ribosomal RNA (253 nucleotides) under uncultured bacterium. RNAcentral's name for it is "partial 16S ribosomal RNA". It matches the Rfam family "Bacterial small subunit ribosomal RNA", at positions 524 to 776 of the family's 1533-position model. The record is from RNAcentral.